This is a small nucleolar RNA of Nycticebus coucang (slow loris), 133 nucleotides long. RefSeq annotates it as U8 small nucleolar RNA. The record is from RefSeq and is a predicted model, not a curated record. The transcript has a single exon. NCBI's taxonomy places the organism in Eukaryota, Metazoa, Chordata, Mammalia, Primates, Lorisidae.
UGCUGACAUGGGGAAAUGCUUGCCUGUUUCUCCUUUUGGAGGACAGACUAGUACAUUAUAAAUGAAGUUUGAUGAAAGAGGAUUAAAGUCUCUUGAAAUCAGAACUUGCAGACCUGGGUUGCUUCUCUCUGAU